AUAAGAGUUAUUUUAUCUUAACUUUUGAGUUAUUUUAACUUAAAAUUUAGAGUGGACUUUCUGGAACAUUUUAUUUUUUACUGUGUAAUUUGUGAACUUUUUCUUGUAAGAAGCAUUAAAUUUGAAUCCAAAUCCGUUUUCGAUUCGUCUAUCACUGUCUGCGAAUAUCAUGACACUUCUACAACCACUCUGUGUAUCACGGGGUUAACGACCGAACACGGAGAAUUAUAAUUGUAACGCGACGCGUUCUCGUAUGGCGGUUAUACGAGUGGGCCUCCCGAAUACGCGCGUUAAUUAUAUUUAUCAUUCGCAGGUCGCGCACGCAGUUGACGCAGAAUUCCAUGCUGCGCAUUAAAUAAUAGUCGUAACGGUGCCAAAUGUCAGAUGUACUUCCGGCCGAUAACAAUUUCAUCGCGUAUACGCGCUAUAUCGCCGGGCGGCCGCCUCGCCCGACGGAUCGUAUUACGAAAUUACUUUUUGGCGUGUACACGACAUUAUUACAAUGCCGCCGCGCGCCGCGACCAUGGAAUGACAUCGUUCAUUCUCGCAAUCAGCGCGCGCGAACCGUAAACAGCUGCUGACGAAAAUGGCGAAAAACGAGCUAGUCGAAUGAUCGAUCUCCGAUUUCCGCCGGAAAUACGCUCCCGAGCGAUCCGACGAGCUUGAUUCGGGAAGCGGUAUCAGCUCCCCGGUUUCCGAAAGGAAAUCGACCAAACUGCAUCUCGUUCUAUAAUUUUUUUCUAAUCCUUUUUCUAACGCUCGAAGUCUCGCUGAUCGUAAUAAUCGUGAAAAUUUUUCGAUCGUUCGAAAAAAUGGCAAAUGAUUUUGAAGUGAUUUGUAUGAUUCCGGCUUUUAAUCUUUCCACAAAUACAAAGAAGCAAGUAUAUCCGUUCAAUUCUAACUUCCUGCACCCCUAAAAAUACCAGUGCGAUCUGCACAAAAUCUAGAUAUAGCAGCAAAAUAAAAAUUCAACGUAGCAAAAAUAAAAUAUAAAUUUGAUACAAUUUAUAUGAUACAGAAUUUUUAUCCUACAUUUGAAAUAAAUGGAUUGUUAAAUUUAUUAAGCGCGUGAACAAGCAAAAAUGUAAUAAAAUAUUAUAAAUUCUUUCAUAGCUAAUAAUAUCUGAAAAUUCAUUUAAUUUUUAUUUUAUAAUCAAACUUAAUAAUAUUAAAUUAAUUUUUGCUUAAUUAAAGUUUUAAAUUGCUUUUUAAGUUAAUCUUCAAAAUAAAGAACUUUGUGUGAAUUAAAUUUCUAGGAUGAAAUUAAAUAUAAAAAUUUGUACACUUCCAAAAAAUAUUUAAUCACUCGAACACAAAGCAUGUCAUCACUUAUUUGUAAUAAUUUGUAAAAAAUUACAUAUACUUAUCUGUAUAUGUAAUUACAAUUAAGAUAAUGUUUCAUUACAAGCUAUAAUAAUUGUACAAAUAUGUACAUACUAUUGUCGUGGUGAUGCAAAUUACUUUGUUAUUUCAAAUAAAAUUUUGAAACUUUACUUGCAAUAAGUUUCUAUAAAAUAGUUUAUUGAACUAUGUACGUUAAUUCUACAUAUAAAACUUGUACAGGGAUAGGCAGAAUAUCUGUUACUUGACUUUAGACUGCAAUUCAUAACGUAUAAAACAAGCACACUCACUGGCAGCCGUGACUAAUAGAACGUGUACAACAAAUUUAAAAGAGAAAAGAGACGCUGUAAUUUCUUUGUUUAAAAGUGAUAAAAGUAAAGCUGAUAUUGUGAAGUUGUUAAAAUCACAAAAUAUUUGUAAAAUGUUUAUGUAUCGCAUGAUUAAACGUUGUGAGGACAUUGGCUGUUUAGAUGGCAGAAGAAAUAGUGGUGUUAAACCAACUGUUACGGGCUAAAUACCUCAAAGUUACUUUUCAUCCGCUUAGGAUACCUUUUUAGACAGAAUUGAUCUUAUAAUCAGAUUUAAAGGACAACAAAUCAAAAAUUGAUGACUUAUUGUAGUUUAAAGUAGUAACAAAUAUUCUGCCUAACCCUGUAUAGUUGUCACUUGAAUAGUACAUAGAGUUUGCUACUAUGAACUUUUCUCUAAGUGUCCGGAGGUAAAAAUCGAAGCGUAAAAAUAUUCAUAAGUAUCUCCCUAAAUUAAAAAGUUUCUUACGUAUGCCGAUUUCUUUCUUUUCUAUAUAAAAAUAACUCAAAAUGGUUUUUUUACUGACGUUAAACCGGUAAAUCGAAAGGUAAACCGAGCGACUAAACCAACUGUAUUUUCGUUCUGGCGUAUUCUCUCACAUUGAUGUUACUCGCGAAUGCGUCCGAUUUUCGUGAAACGUUUGCGGAAAUUUGCGCGCGCAUGACCGGCGGCGGUGCACCAAACUAAUUGGUAGACCAAAAAUAGAAAAGACCGAUACACGUUAUGCUUGCAGCUGACGCAAACAACGCUCAAAUCCGCGAUUACAAUAUCGCGCUAACGGCACCACCCUCGCUUGACGUGCGCUCGCGCUAUUUCUCGUAAUGCUCGCGGCUGCUCAUACGUUUAUGUAUUUGACAAGCAUCGUCUUCCGUUCAUAAGUUGUGAAGUGAAAACGUGGGCAUAGAAUUAUAUAUCCCAUAUGAAAAAAUAGUACUUAAUGAAUGAUUAUUUGAACUUAGACCGUUUAAGUGUAAUCACACAAAUAAUUAAGAAAGCGAUAUCAAAUACGGUCUAGGGAGGAUCUUUAUUGCCUAACAUUAUUUUAUGUGUACUCGUCUUCAAUACAUUUUCAAUUUUGAUAAAACUGCGCAUCGAGCACAGUCGGACUUGAAACGUAGUUAUAAACUGAAUCUAGACAUAUAAUGUCACAAAUUAAAUACAUCCUCAUUGAUAAUUGAUUAAUUUAACAAUAUUACUACCAGCAUCUUUAAAAACUACAAAUAAUUUAUUGCGAAAACUAUAUGCUGGCCGUAUACGCGACCAUGGAGUUUUCUUUUAGUAAAUAGGAUGUAAAUAACUGGAAAAUGCUUGAAGAAAUUAUUUCUAAAUUUAUAGAUUAAUAAACGUGUAUUAUUGUUUUUUAUUCAAUGGUACUUGGAAAAAAAUUUGUAAAUAAGACAACUAAGAACUUCACUAAGUCAACAUAGCCGUAAUAUAUAGUCAAUUUUCUAUAUUAAAGUAGCAAAGUGUCAUAACUGAUUAAAAUUAGCGUUUAUAACUAAUAAUAUUUGUUAAAAUGGUACUGUAAAUUUGUUAAUACAUCGAGACAACUUUCUGCAAAAAUCAAUUGAAUACAUAGAUUAAAAUUUUUAACAAAAUCACUAACUAAGAUGGCGCAGACUUUUGUUGUUGUAAUAAAGAAAACUUGAUACGUUAGCAAUUUUUAUCAUAACAAAGAACUAAUUUCUGUAACAAUUCAUUCAUUGUUUUCAGACAUAACUUCUUUGUCACAUCUCAUUACUUAUAGAAGUUGAACUCGUGUAGUAAGUUAUAAGUUAAAACUAAAUUGUAUUGCUAAUGCAGCUGAAAAGUCUUGUUAUUUGAACAAAAAAGAAUUUGUUUUUACAACAAAAUAAUUUGUAGUUUUAUUAUAGUAAACUUAUAGCAAAUAGUACUUAAUUAAUUCUCUUUAAUGUCUAUAUAAUAGAUCUUGCUACAGCAGUAUAAAAUCUGUUAAGCUAGCAAAUUAUUUUUCUGUGUGAUUGGCGAAAAUAAAAGAGUGACUAAUAUCAUAACAAAUGAUUGAGAAAGUUUUACACAGUUUUCGUAACAGAAUUGAUUUUUGUUGUAAUAAAAACGGAGCACGGCUCGAAAAAAUAUCGUAUCAUUUAUGUAAUAUUAUUAGAAUGUUUAACUUUUACUUUUUCUUAUAAAGUCAUUAAAUUAGAAAAAAAUUCUCUAUUGUAUAGAAUAAUAUACUAAAAUAAAAUUGUCAAAUUUUUUCUAUUAAACGCAAUUUUAUUUUUUUAUUUUUUUUAUAUCCGUAUACGUGUCACUGAAUAAAAGCUAAUUAAUUGCAACAACUUUCCGUCGGACACUCUGUAUUUAUAUAUAACAAUUUACAAUUUAUACAGAAGAUUUGUAUGAUCAAAAUCUCAGUUAUGAGAUUUAAAUAAAAUUUGUAGUUGAUAUUAUCAAUUUCGCUAUUUUAUUAUUAAAAUGUUGAUGAUUGAAGGUAUGUUUUAGUUUAACGAGUAUUUAAAUAAAUAUGUUACACAUUGUUUAAAAUGUAAAUUUUGAUAUAUUGCAAUAUUAUAAUUAAACAUUGGAAUCAAAUAAGUAAUUUUUUGAAACGGAAAAUACACGCGAGAUUAACCAAUUUAGAACAUAGAAAGAAAAAAAAUGUUUUCAUAGCAAACAAUAUUGGACUGCCCUUUCGUUAGUCUCGCGCUGCAAAACAAUUAAAAACGGAUGUUGCAUCGCUGGCCCCAUGUUGUUAACGACAAAUAUUUACGAUAUUUACUCGCGUUUGUUUUACGCCAAUUCACGUGAAUUUUGCGCGACAGUUACCUGCCAAUUUAUAUCGAUUGAAUCAUGUUAUGCAAUAGCGACAUUUCCAACGAGUUGAACGAAACGUCAUGUAAUACUUAAGAAAAAUAUUCGUUUCAAUAAAUAGACGAAUCUGUUUAUAGAGGGAAUUUAAUAGUAUUAUAAUUCAUAAUAAUUUAAAAUAAUGUAAAAUAAAAAAUAUAGCACAUACGAUUCAAAUUAAAAAAUUUUAUUAUUUGUUAAUUUUGAGAUUCAUUUUAUUAGAAUAGUGAAAAUAAGUUUUGUCAUUUUAUGUAAAGGUUAAUUUACACGAUACUUUUUUCAUUAACAAUAACUAGCGUGCUAGUUUUCUAUAUAACGAACUAAAAAAUUAGUGACUGACAAAACAUAAUGUUUAUUCUUCACAUGACAUGUAAAAUUAUAAAUGUUUUAUUUCCAUACACCGUGUGUAUAUAAUUAAACAAUGCAUAAAAGAGAGCAAUAAAUAAUAAACCAGCCGGGUUAGGCGUUAAUGCAAAUUUAUCAAUUCUUUAAUUACAUAUAACUCUCAAUUUGAUCUUAAUUAUUACAUAAAAAAUAGCAAAUGAUUCGACUUAUCGUGACGUCAUCUUGCACGGUGGUAUUGUUAAACAAAAUCGUGGAAAGUCUGUACCUCCUGACAUCUUAAUAUUAGCUCUAGAAUUUAGAUUCGUCAAAAACUUACAGGAUUUUUAUCAAAUUUUGUAAGUGGGCUCUCUGUAUAACAGUGAUAAAACAGAGAAUUAUGUGUAAUCGAAAUUGAUAAAUUCGCAUUAACACUCAGUACAACUGGUUUAUUAUUUUUUGCUCUAUUUUAUGUAUUGUUUGACUUUGAAUCUCACCAAGCCUCCGUUGUUAUUGUUUAUACUUUUGUAUACAAUUAUAUUAUUUAAUUAAUAAUUUACUAAUUUGUGUUAGAAGACCAGCUAGUUGCUAGAAGUAUUGUAUAAAUUGAGCCUUAGAGAAAAAAAAUGAUUUUUCUUGCGUGAUUUUUCUUCAUGAAACGAUUUAUGUUCAUGAGAGGAUAAAAAAAUGAUGAAAAAAGAACAAGUAUAUAGAUACAUUUUCUCACCAAACAUUUAUGUCCUUUAUAAUAAUUAUUUUUGCACUUAUUUUAAAAAUUAUCCUACCAUUACCUAAAAUUUAUCCAUAUCUCACUAAUUUAUUAUCAAAACGCGAAAUUUAUUUUCUUUUUAUCACAUUUUUUAGAAGAUAAUAAUAAAUAAUAAAAAAUUAAAUUGAAUACAGAGAGACUCAUCAGUCUCAUCACUAUUAGGAACAAAACAAAAAAAAAAUAGAAAGAUUAUAUUUGAAUCAGUAUGAAAAUUGCUGCGCAAAGAUCUUAACAUAAAAUUUAUCAAUAAAAAAUAAUUUUAUAAUGUUUUAAAAUAGAUUAUUGAUCAGAGGAAUCGUGUAUGUGUUCAGCGUGCGCGCGCGCACAUGUCAUUGGUCUUGCGAUCGCCCGCUGGUAUGUGAAUUUUAAUCACGUUGGGGUGCAUUGCGGGCGAGUCAAGUGCCCAUGGCACUUUGUUGAAGAACGGAGAUCGUGCUCGAGAUUAAUGAGAUGCGACAGAGAGGAUAAACGGAGGUAAAGCCGCCGCGAAAAAGUGUCGGAAGCCGGCCGACGGGGUUAAGAAGCCGCGACGGAUUUACGGACGCUGUCCUCUUCAGAUCCUACGAAGAGGACACAUAGAUUUUUCCUGGCGUUUUCGCGGCGAGUGCCCGCUGGAUCCUUCGCGAAUAAUAUGAAGAUCAUUCCAGUGGGAGAACGUUUUUAUUGCGUCAUGAAACGAUUUAUGUUUAUGAGAGAAUAAGAUAAUGACGAAAAAGGUAACAAGUGUAUAAUUAAAUUUUUUUGUCAAACAUUUAUAUCCUUUAUAAUAACACUUUUUAUACAUAUUUAAAAAAUUAUCUUUGCCCAAAAUAUAUCCACUUCUCGCUAAUUUAUCAUCAAAAUGCAAGAUUUAUUCUUAUUCUCUCUCUUUCUCAUCUUUUUUUAGAGGAUAAUAAAUGACAAAGAGUUAAAUUGAAUAAAGACUCAUAAUUAUUAAAAAACAAAAUAAAGAAAAGUAAAAAGAUUAUUUGAGUCAGCGUGGAAAUUAGUGCGCAAUGACUUAAUUGAUUAUUAUGAUAUAGGGUCUCCCGUUAUAUCAUAAUAAUCAAUUAAGUCAUUGCGCACUAAUUUCCACGCUGACUCAAAUAAUCUUUUUACUUUUCUAUAUUUUGUUUUUUAAUAGUUAUGAGUAAUCAAUUUUAACUCUCUCAGGGUUUAAGAUGACAAAUUUUUCCAAAUUAAUAACAAAUAAUGUACCAACACAGUGGUCUAGAUCUCGAAAAAAACUGGCCAAAAAUGCAAAAAAUAAAAGUCAUAAUUAUGAGUUUAGUAUUAUAGAAUCUUGUAGAGAGGUCACUACAUGUUAUUCCAAAGAGAAAGUAACGGUUCUUUUAUACCUGCAGUGCUACAUUAGUUCAAAAGUGACCGUUCUUAGAGCACGUGAGUCACGCUGAGCGCGUCCGAAAUAUUCGACGUUUUUCAAGUGCGUAUAACUUUUUACUGGAGUGUCUUUUUUAAUUCUGUUUGAUGGAGGGUAUUAACGAAGGUAUGUAGAACAUUUUCGUAUAUUGUUUUUUUUUAUGAAUGUAUACUCGGCAUGAAUCAUGUCAAAGUCCUGCCUGUACAAUUGGUUCUCUUAUAAAAACUUUUACCGUAAAUCAUCGAAAAAGUUAUCGCGCCACUAGGAGCUGCAAAUCUAAAACAUUGAGUAUAUAGCUUAAGAUGUUUUCUAAUAAAGUUUUAAAGAAAAUUCUGCCCAUCUCUGCCCCUGUCGUUGUAAGGCUAUUCUGAAUACAACGAUGUCGAGCCAGUUGUUAGGUUAGGUUCGACACUCAGGCACGCAGAAGGGUCGGCGACUACUUGCCUUUGAAAACUCAAUAGUGAACGUCGACUUUUUAUUGCUAAGAUAAUUUGAAUAUAUAUACCGGGUGUUUUAUUUUAAUAUAUCGUUAAAUUUUCAUAAAGUUUUACAAUUAAUUAUUCAAAUAACACUCCUCAAAAAUAUUAAAUUGUAUACAUAAUUUUUUUUAUUUCACAAUUUCAAAUAAUGCUUAUUCUGAGAGAAAAAUCUGUUUAUAUUUAAUGCUACAUUAUAUCUGUAUUUUAGGAUCGCGUAUUGAUAAAGUGA
Solenopsis invicta (red fire ant) is the source of this 7619-nucleotide long non-coding RNA. RefSeq lists it as uncharacterized. NCBI's taxonomy places the organism in Eukaryota, Metazoa, Arthropoda, Insecta, Hymenoptera, Formicidae. The transcript has 2 exons. The record is from RefSeq and is a predicted model, not a curated record.